RNAcentral lists this ribosomal RNA (381 nucleotides) under uncultured organism. RNAcentral's name for it is "bacterial SSU rRNA". It matches the Rfam family "Bacterial small subunit ribosomal RNA", at positions 367 to 762 of the family's 1533-position model. The record is from RNAcentral.
CGCAAUGGGCGCAAGCCUGACGGAGCGACGCCGCGUGAUUGAUGAAGUCUUUCGGGAUGUAAAGAUCUUUUAUGGGGGAGGACGUUAUCGACGGUACCCCAUGAAUAAGGAGCUGCCAAUCUCGUGCCAGCAGCCGCGGUAAUACGAAGGCCCCAAGCGUUAUCCGGAAUUACUGGGCGUAAAGCGUCUGUAGGUGGUUUGGAAAGUUUCAAGUGAAAGGUCAGGGCUCAACCCUGUACUUGCUUGGAAAACUAUCAGACUUGAGUGCGGGAGAGGCAAGCAGAAUGGUAAGAGUAGGGGUGCAAUCCGUUGAUACUUACCAGAAUACCAAAAGCGAAGGCAGCUUGCUGGAACGCUACUGACACUGAGAGACGAAAGCGU